Molecule: ribosomal RNA, 494 nt
Filed under: uncultured bacterium
Lineage: Bacteria
Description: partial 16S ribosomal RNA
Rfam family: Bacterial small subunit ribosomal RNA
Source: RNAcentral
GACGAACGCUGGCGGCGUGCUUAACACAUGCAAGUCGAACGGAAAGGCCUGCUUUCCCUUGUGGAUUGAGGGUACACGAGCGGCGAACGGGUGAGUAACACGUGAGUGAUCUGUCCCAAACUUGGGUAUAAGCCCGGGAAACUGGGACUAAUUACCGAUAGGACUGCAGGGAGGUGCGAGUGGUGGAAAACGAUUUUCUAGUGGUUGGGGAUGAGCUCGCGGCCUAUUAGCUUGUUGGUGGGGUAAUGGCCUACCAAGGCGGCGACGGGUAGUCGGCGUGAGAGUAGACACAGCCAUAAUGGGACCGAGAUCAGGCUCAGACGGCUGCCGGAGGCGGCCGUGAGGAGUCACGCAGUACGGGCCGGAGCCAGAAGCAGCGACGCCGCGUGGAGGAUAACGGCAUUCGGCAUGUAAACUCCUGUGGACCGCCAGAACCCCACCUGGUUCGAAGCGUGCUGACGGUAGUAAAAGAAUAAGCACCGGCUAACUACGUG